This 492-nucleotide ribosomal RNA is filed under the name uncultured bacterium. RNAcentral's name for it is "partial 16S ribosomal RNA". It matches the Rfam family "Bacterial small subunit ribosomal RNA", at positions 29 to 507 of the family's 1533-position model. The record is from RNAcentral.
AGUGAACGCUGGCGGUAGGCCUAACACAUGCAAGUCGAACGGCAGCACAGUAAGAGCUUGCUCUUACGGGUGGCGAGUGGCGGACGGGUGAGGAAUACAUCGGAAUCUACUUUUUCGUGGGGGAUAACGUAGGGAAACUUACGCUAAUACCGCAUACGACCUACGGGUGAAAGCAGGGGAUCUUCGGACCUUGCGCGAUUGAAUGAGCCGAUGUCGGAUUAGCUAGUUGGCGGGGUAAAGGCCCACAAAGGCGACGCUCCGUAGCUGGUCUGAGAGGAUGAUCCGCCACACUGGAACUGAGACACGGUCCAGACUCCUACGGUAGGCAGCAGUGGGGAAUCUUGGGCAAUGGGCGCAAGCCUGAUCCAGCCAUACCGCGUGGGUGAAGAAGGCCUUCUGGUUGGUGAGCCCUUUUGUUGGGAAAGAAAAGCAGCUGUUUAAUACCCCGCUGUUCUGACGGUACCCAAAGAAUAAGCACCGGCUAACUUCGUG